AUUGAACGCUGGCGGCAUGCUUUACACAUGCAAGUCGAACGGGGUUGGGAGCUUGCUUCCAAUCUAGUGGCGAACGGGUGAGUAAUACAUCGGAACGUACCGUGUAGUGGGGGAUAACGUAGCGAAAGUUACGCUAAUACCGCAUACGAUCCACGGAUGAAAGCAGGGGACCUUCGGGCCUUGUGCUAUACGAGCGGCCGAUGUCUGAUUAGCUAGUUGGUGAGGUAAAGGCUCACCAAGGCGACGAUCAGUAGCGGGUCUGAGAGGAUGAUCCGCCACACUGGGACUGAGACACGGCCCAGACUCCUACGGGAGGCAGCAGUGGGGAAUUUUGGACAAUGGGCGCAAGCCUGAUCCAGCCAUGCCGCGUGUCUGAAGAAGGCCU
This 385-nucleotide ribosomal RNA is filed under the name uncultured bacterium. RNAcentral's name for it is "bacterial SSU rRNA". It matches the Rfam family "Bacterial small subunit ribosomal RNA", at positions 30 to 417 of the family's 1533-position model. The record is from RNAcentral.